GUUUAGACCCGUAGCAGAUAGCUCAGUAACACGUGGCCAAACUACCCUAUGGAUCCGGAUAACCUCGGGAAACUGAGGCUAAUCCGGAAUAGGAUUCUCAGGCUGGAACUGCCGAGAAUUCGAAACGCCCCGGCGCCAUAGGAUGUGGCUGCGGCCGAUUAGGUAGACGGUGGGGUAACGGCCCACCGUGCCAGUAAUCGGUACGGGUUGUGAGAGCAAGAGCCCGGAGACGGUAUCUGAGACAAGAUACCGGGCCCUACGGGGCGCAGCAGGCGCGAAACCUUUACACUGCACGCCAGUGCGAUAAGGGGACUCCAAGUGCGAGGGCAUAUAGUCCUCGCUUUUCUGUACCGUAAGGUGGUACAGGAAUAAGGGCUGGGCAAGACCGGUGCCAGCCGCCGCGGUAAUACCGGCAGCCCAAGUGAUGACCGCUAUUAUUGGGCCUAAAGCGUCCGUAGCUGGCCACGCAAGUCCAUCGGGAAAUCUGUCCGCUUAACGGGCAGGCGUCCGGUGGAAACUGCGUGGCUUGGGACCGGAAGACCUGAGGGGUACGUCCGGGGUAGGAGUGAAAUCCCGUAAUCCUGGACGGACCACCGGUGGCGAAAGCGCCUCAGGAAGACGGAUCCGACGGUGAGGGACGAAAGCUCGGGUCACGAACCGGAUUAGAUACCCGGGUAGUCCGAGCUGUAAACGAUGUCUGCUAGGUGUGACACAGGCUACGAGCCUGUGUUGUGCCGUAGGGAAGCCGUGAAGCAGACCGCCUGGGAAGUACGUCCGCAAGGAUGAAACUUAAAGGAAUUGGCGGGGGAGCACUACAACCGGAGGAGCCUGCGGUUUAAUUGGACUCAACGCCGGACAUCUCACCAGC
RNAcentral lists this ribosomal RNA (868 nucleotides) under Halopiger djelfimassiliensis. Its description in RNAcentral is "bacterial SSU rRNA". It matches the Rfam family "Archaeal small subunit ribosomal RNA", at positions 67 to 934 of the family's 1478-position model. Lineage: Archaea; Methanobacteriati; Methanobacteriota; Halobacteria; Halobacteriales; Natrialbaceae. The record is from RNAcentral.